AUGAACAAAAUCACCUGGUUAUGUGUUUUUGGACUGGUCAUAGCGGCUACACUUCCCACUAGUUGGCAAAUGGCUAUUGAAUCACGGUUGGUUUCUGAAGAGGAAAAUGGAGCUGAACACUUCCUUGCCAAAGCUAAGCGACACAAUGAAGGAACAUAUGGCAGUGACUACACUGAACUCAUGGACAGGGAGAAAGCAAGGGAAUUUGUGCAAUGGCUUAUUAAUCAAGGCGCUACAGUUCCUCCAGGUUUAGUUUGAACUCUGGAGCAGACGUUGUCUGAGCUUUGAUGGCCACCUUCAACAAACAGCAAGAGUUUCCUUUUCUUUAGUCCAAAUUGGAAAAUGAUAAAUACUUAAGUGAUAAAUAAAAUGAGGCCAUCAAAACA
RNAcentral lists this long non-coding RNA (386 nucleotides) under Pogona vitticeps (central bearded dragon). RNAcentral describes it as "lncRNA (ENSPVIG00000007090.1)". Lineage: Eukaryota; Metazoa; Chordata; Lepidosauria; Squamata; Agamidae. The record is from RNAcentral.